Molecule: ribosomal RNA, 782 nt
Filed under: uncultured delta proteobacterium
Lineage: Bacteria; Deltaproteobacteria
Description: bacterial SSU rRNA
Rfam family: Bacterial small subunit ribosomal RNA
Source: RNAcentral
AGAUCUGAUCCUGGCUCAGAGCGAACGCUGGCGGCGUGCUUAACACAUGCAAGUCGAGGGAGAACGGAAGGCUUCGGCCUUCUUAGUAAACCGGCGCACGGGUGAGUAACACGUAGGUAACCUACCCCCGAGCUCGGGAUAACCUGUCGAAAGAUAGGCUAAUACCGGAUGAGACCACGUUGGUUUCGGCCAAUGCGGUCAAAGAUGGCCUCUAUUUAUAAGCUAUCACUCGAGGAUGGGCCUGCGCACCAUUAGCUAGUUGGUGAGGUAACGGCUCACCAAGGCUACGAUGGUUAGUUGGUCUGAGAGGAUGACCAGCCACACUGGGACUGAGACACGGCCCAGACUCCUACGGGAGGCAGCAGUGGGGAAUAUUGCGCAAUGGGGGAAACCCUGACGCAGCGACGCCGCGUGGGUGAUGAAGGCCUUCGGGUCGUAAAGCCCUGUCGGAGGGGAAGAAGGACUGUCGUGCAAAUAGUGCGAUGGUUUGACGGUACCCUUAGAGGAAGCGCCGGCUAACUCCGUGCCAGCAGCCGCGGUAAUACGGAGGGUGCAAGCGUUGCUCGGAAUUACUGGGCGUAAAGGGCGUGUAGGCGGUUUCGUAUGUCUGGCGUGAAAGCCCCGGGCUCACCUCGGGAAGUGCGUCGGAAACUGCGAGACUAGAGUCCCGGANAGGGAGGUGGGAAUUCCAGGUGUAGCGGUGAAAUGCGUAGAUAUCUGGAAGAACACCCGGUGGCGAAAGCGGCCUCCUGGACGGUGACUGACGCUGAAACGCGAAAGCG